Gordionus sp. m RMFG-2023 is the source of this 292-nucleotide long non-coding RNA. RefSeq lists it as uncharacterized. NCBI's taxonomy places the organism in Eukaryota, Metazoa, Nematomorpha, Gordioida, Chordodea, Parachordodidae. The transcript has 3 exons. The record is from RefSeq and is a predicted model, not a curated record.
UUAGUCUUUAAAACUAGCAAUCCAAAAAAUUUGGCCAAAAUUUAUUUUACCGAAUAUCCGCAAGAAAAAAAUCCUAUUUGGAAGAAUCCAUGUAAGGAUCCAAAUGCUCUUAAAUUAUGGAGUCGUCCUGGUAAUUGCGACAGAUUUCCUAAAUUUAUAAUCGUUGGCCCUCAAAAAACAGGAACAACGGCAUUACUCUGGUUUUUAUCAAUGAACCCUUAUUUAAAAGAGAAUAAGAUGACGGAAUUUUUUGAAGAGACUCAAUUUUUUUCAAGCGAAAACUAUAAAAAGG